AUUGAACGCCGGCGGCAUGCCUUACACAUGCAAGUCGAACGGCAGCACGGGUGCUUGCACCUGGUGGCGAGUGGCGAACGGGUGAGUAAUACAUCGGAACAUGUCCUGUAGUGGGGGAUAGCCCGGCGAAAGCCGGAUUAAUACCGCAUACGAUCUACGGAUGAAAGCGGGGGACCUUCGGGCCUCGCGCUAUAGGGUUGGCCGAUGGCUGAUUAGCUAGUUGGUGGGGUAAAGGCCUACCAAGGCGACGAUCAGUAGCUGGUCUGAGAGGACGACCAGCCACACUGGGACUGAGACACGGCCCAGACUCCUACGGGAGGCAGCAGUGGGGAAUUUUGGACAAUGGGCGAAAGCCUGAUCCAGCAAUGCCGCGUGUGUGAAGAAGGCCUUCGGGUUGUAAAGCACUUUUGUCCGGAAAGAAAUCCUUGGCCCUAAUACGGUCGGGGGAUGACGGUACCGGAAGAAUAAGCACCGGCUAACUACGUG
This 486-nucleotide ribosomal RNA is filed under the name uncultured bacterium. RNAcentral describes it as "partial 16S ribosomal RNA". It matches the Rfam family "Bacterial small subunit ribosomal RNA", at positions 30 to 507 of the family's 1533-position model. The record is from RNAcentral.